Molecule: ribosomal RNA, 662 nt
Filed under: Boophis andohahela
Lineage: Eukaryota; Metazoa; Chordata; Amphibia; Anura; Mantellidae
Description: partial 16S ribosomal RNA
Rfam family: Bacterial large subunit ribosomal RNA (bases 1-439)
Source: RNAcentral
GGAAACUGGGCAGUUACCAGCAGAGGACUUUUAGUUUGCCCCCCCGAAACUAAGUGAGCUACUUUGAAAUAGCCAUGAGAGCCAACCCAUCUCUGUUGCAAUAGAGUGGGACAAUUUUUAAGUAGAGGUGAUAAGCCUAUCGGACUUAGAGAUAGCUGGUUUUUUAAGAAAAGAAUUUUAGUUCAGCCCUAAGCCUCCUAUUACACAAAUAUUUUACUAGACUUAGGUGUUAUUCAAAUAAGGCACAGCUUAUUUGAAACAGGAUACAACCUACAACAAAGGGUAAGACAAAUUACACUUUUGAUAAGUGGGCCUAAAAGCAGCCACCUUUAAAAAAGCGUCAAAGCUUAACAUUAAAAUUUAAUUAAUACCCAAAACAACUUCUAACCCUUAUUAACUAUUAAAAAACCCCAUAAUAUUAUGGAAGUUAUUAUGCUAGAACAAGUAACAAGAAAAAGACUUUCUCCAAAAUGUAGACUUAAGCCAUGAUAGACAAACUGAUGGCAAUCAACGUUUAUGAGCCACUUAUAGCAACCCACCAAGAAAAUCCUAUAGUAAUAGACGUCAACCUCACACUAGCACAUUAGUGGAAAGAUUAAAAGAAUAGGAAGGAACUCGGCAAAUAUUGAUCCCGCCUGAUAUCAAAAAAAAACAUGGAAACC